GACAACAUGUAUCACCCAUUGUUUACACAUGUAUCAUGUAGAUUAAAUGUAUCGGUUUAUAUAAUUUAUUUAUUCAGAAUCAUAAAUGUAUAAUUUGAUUAAGAAGCAAUUAUGUAGAAGUACAUGCUCCACUGUGGUUUAUUUUCAAUACAUAAAAAUUCACAAAUGAGUUCGGGAUCGGUAUUCAAUCGGGGUCAAGGUCGAAGUGAAAGUAGACAGCAGAAAGUUAUCAAAACUGUUCAGGGCAGUGUUAAGCAGUAUAUAGGUGAUGGGCAUUUGUAUUUUACACAGGAGGUUUAUGGUGAUUGGUUCAGGAAAAAAAUGAGGUCCAUGCAGAUGGUGUUUAAAACUAUUGGCCAGCAAAUGCACACCCAUUUGAAUACAUCUUGAAAAAGAACCAGCAAAAUGUGACAGUCGGCAAAAUAUAGGUUCCCGCAGACAGACGCAUUUUGCCGGAAAACGAAUCUGACAUGCCACCUCGAGAUUUUAACCAAGGAAAGACAAGUUGAUGUGCUUUGAUUUGAGGGGUCACUCACUACCGAACGAAAAUUAGGGACAUCGCUAUGAGAAGAAACGUUAACAUUGUCGCCUAUGGGAAAACAAUUAGUGGACUGUACCCAUAUAUAUG
Saccostrea cuccullata (small rock oyster) is the source of this 628-nucleotide long non-coding RNA. RefSeq lists it as uncharacterized. NCBI's taxonomy places the organism in Eukaryota, Metazoa, Mollusca, Bivalvia, Ostreida, Ostreidae. The record is from RefSeq and is a predicted model, not a curated record. The transcript has 4 exons.